RNAcentral lists this ribosomal RNA (854 nucleotides) under uncultured bacterium. RNAcentral describes it as "bacterial SSU rRNA". It matches the Rfam family "Bacterial small subunit ribosomal RNA", at positions 639 to 1499 of the family's 1533-position model. The record is from RNAcentral.
GACUAGAGUAUGGCANGGGGUAGAGGGAAUUUCUAGUGUAGCGGUGAAAUGCGUAGAUAUUAGAAAGAACACCGGUGGCGAAAGCGCUCUACUGGACCAUUACUGACACUCAGAGGCGAAAGCUAGGGUAGCAAAAGGGAUUAGAUACCCCCGUAGUCCUAGCCGUAAACGAUGGAUACUACAUGUUGUGCUUUAUGUACAGUAUGGUAGCUAACGCGUUAAGUAUCCCGCCUGGGGAGUACGCUCGCAAGGGUGAAACUCAAAGGAAUUGACGGGGGCCCGCACAAGCGGUGGAGCAUGUGGUUUAAUUCGAUGCAACGCGAAGAACCUUACCAGGACUUGACAUACUACAAAUCCUUUUGAGAAAAAGGAGUGCCUUCGGGAAUGUAGAUACAGGUGGUGCAUGGCUGUCGUCAGCUCGUGUCGUGAGAUGUUGGGUUAAGUCCCGCAACGAGCGCAACCCUUAUUUUUAGUUACCAAUUCGUUGGGUUCUCUAGAAAGACUGCCGGUGACAAACCGGAGGAAGGUGAGGAUGACGUCAAGUCAGCAUGCCCCUUAUGUCCUGGGCUACACACGUGCUACAAUGGUUAAGACAAAGAGUCGCGAGCUCGUAAGAGUCAGCUAAUCUCAUAAACUUAGCCCAAGUUCAGAUUGUAGGCUGCAACUCGCCUGCAUGAAGUUGGAAUCGCUAGUAAUCGCUGGUCAGCCAUACAGCGGUGAAUCCGUUCCCGGGCCUUGUACACACCGCCCGUCACACCAUGGGAGCUGGUCAUACCCGAUACCGUUUGCUUAACCGUUCGGAGGGCGACGUCUAAGGUAGGGCUAGUGACUGGGGUGAAGUCGUAACAAGGUAA